GGAUUUAAGCAUAUCACUAAGCGGAGGAAAAGAAACUAACAAGGAUUCCCCUAGUAACUGCGAGUGAACAGGGAUUAGCCCAGCACCGAAGCCUGUGGUUAUUUGACUGCAAGGCAAUGUGGUGUUUAGGUUUGUUCUUGGCAUUACUGCUCUGCCCCAAGUCCAGCAAUGAGUACGGCAUACCGUUCUGGCCCAUAGAGGGUGAAAGGCCCGUGGGGGUAGAGACCAAGCAUGACAGUUUUGUCCAGAGCUUACCUUGGAGUCGGGUUGUUUGAGAAUGCAGCCCAAAGUGGGUGGUAAACUCCAUCCAAGGCUAAAUACUUGCACGAGUCCGAUAGUAAACAAGUACCGUGAGGGAAAGUUGAAAAGUACUUUGAAGAGAGAGUAAACAGUGCGUGAAACCGCUCAGAGGUAAACGGGUGGAGUUGAACUGCGAUCCUUGGGAAUUCAGCUGAUGAGCAUGAUUUGUGCUUGGGCAUAUUGACCGCCCUUCAGUGUCUGCUUAGCUGCGGGUGCCUGCCUCUGGUGGGUAUGUGUGGUGCGCUUAUCAUGUGCCGCACGCAUUGGAGGGUGUAUGAGUCUGCUUGUCGGUGCACUUUCUCAGGGUGUUCACCACGACCGGCACUGCUGUCUGUCUGCUUUGGUCAAACUGAUCAGGUCUGAUUAACGUUGGGCUUGGUUGGGUUGGCAGGUGACUCACUGGUCCAUUCUGUGGGCUAUGAGUGUUACUAGCCGGCUUUAGUGGAUCUGUACGGUGUGUCGGAGACGGCGGCUUUGCAUAUGCGCUCUGUCCUUCAGGCGUGGUUGAGUCUGGUCGACUUGUUGCUAGUUUCGGCUGGUCAGUUGAUGGCUUGAUCAUGUUCAGUUGGCAGUGGUGUGUGUGUCUUAGUUUGGGCCAAUAGUCUGUGGUGUUGUGGUAGACUAUCCACCUGACCCGUCUUGAAACACGGACCAAGGAGUUUAACAUGUGCGCGAGUCAUUGGGCUUUACGAAACCCAAAGGCGCAGUGAAGGUAAAGGUUUGGCUUGUCCAGGCUGAGGUGAGAUCCUGUUGUUUUGCUCAUUCAUUCCAAGCUGCGAGCAGCAGGCGCAUCACCGGCCCGUCCCAUGACGUAGACAUGUGGCCUUGUGCCAUGUGCACCGUCGGGGCGGAGCAAGAGCGUACAUGUUGAGACCCGAAAGAUGGUGAACUAUGCUUGCGAAGGUUGAAGCCAGAGGAAACUCUGGUGGAGGACCGUAGCGAUUCUGACGUGCAAAUCGAUCGUAUAACGUGAGUAUAGGGGCGAAAGACUAAUCGAACCAUCUAGUAGCUGGUUCCCUCCGAAGUUUCCCUCAGGAUAGCUGGCAUUCUGAGAUAUAAACAGUUUUAUCCGGUAAAGCGAAUGAUUAGAGGCAUUGGGGAGAAAACAUCCUCAACCUAUUCUCAAACUUUAAAUGGGUGAGAAGCUUAACUCGCUUAAAUGGAGUUUUGCAUUGAAUGUGAGUGCCAAGUGGGCCAUUUUUGGUAAGCAGAACUGGCGCUGUGGG
This 1526-nucleotide ribosomal RNA is filed under the name Trichobilharzia novaeseelandiae. RNAcentral describes it as "partial large subunit ribosomal RNA". It matches the Rfam family "Eukaryotic large subunit ribosomal RNA", at positions 30 to 1162 of the family's 3401-position model. The record is from RNAcentral. Lineage: Eukaryota; Metazoa; Platyhelminthes; Trematoda; Strigeidida; Schistosomatidae.